GGGGGGAGGUCGGAUCCUGUGCUGUGUCCCGGGCACCCUGUGCUCCGGGGCCUGUGCUGUUGGAUUCGUGCUCCCGGCCUCGCAGCAGCCU
This 91-nucleotide microRNA precursor is filed under the name Canis lupus familiaris (dog). RNAcentral's name for it is "mir-8799 microRNA precursor family". It matches the Rfam family "mir-8799 microRNA precursor family". RNAcentral also lists the same sequence under 1 other name. Lineage: Eukaryota; Metazoa; Chordata; Mammalia; Carnivora; Canidae. The record is from Rfam by way of RNAcentral.